Molecule: ribosomal RNA, 283 nt
Filed under: uncultured bacterium
Lineage: Bacteria
Description: partial 16S ribosomal RNA
Rfam family: Bacterial small subunit ribosomal RNA
Source: RNAcentral
UACAGAGGGGGCAAGCGUUAUUCGGAAUUAUUGGGCGUAAAGGGCGCGUAGGCGGUUUUUUAAGUCAGAUGUGUAAUCCCCGAGCUCAACUUGGGAACUGCAUCUGAGACUGGAAGGCUAGAGUACUGGAGAGGGUGGUGGAAUUCCUCGUGUAGCGGUGAAAUGCGUAGAGAUGAGGAGGAACACCAGUGGCGAAGGCGGCCACCCGGACAGUAACUGACGCUGAGGCGCGAAAAGUGUGGGGUAGCAAAACAGGGAUUUAGAUACCCCCGUUGUACGUCCC